AGAGUUUGAUCCUGGCUCAGGAUGAACGCUAGCUACAGGCUUAACACAUGCAAGUCGAGGGGCAUCAGUUUGGUUUGCUUGCAAACCAAAGCUGGCGACCGGCGCACGGGUGAGUAACACGUAUCCAACCUGCCUCAUACUCGGGGAUAGCCUUUCGAAAGAAAGAUUAAUAUCCGAUAGCAUAUAUUUCCCGCAUGGGUUUUAUAUUAAAGAAAUUCGGUAUGAGAUGGGGAUGCGUUCCAUUAGUUUGUUGGGGGGGUAACGGCCCACCAAGACUACGAUGGAUAGGGGUUCUGAGAGGAAGGUCCCCCACAUUGGAACUGAGACACGGUCCAAACUCCUACGGGAGGCAGCAGUGAGGAAUAUUGGUCAAUGGACGCGAGUCUGAACCAGCCAAGUAGCGUGAAGGAUGACUGCCCUAUGGGUUGUAAACUUCUUUUAUAUGGGAAUAAAGUGGUCCACGUGUGGACUUUUGUAUGUACCAUAUGAAUAAGGAUCGGCUAACUCCGUGCCAGCAGCCGCGGUAAUACGGAGGAUCCGAGCGUUAUCCGGAUUUAUUGGGUUUAAAGGGAGCGUAGGCGGAUUGUUAAGUCAGUUGUGAAAGUUUGCGGCUCAACCGUAAAAUUGCAGUUGAUACUGGCAGUCUUGAGUGCAGUAGAGGUGGGCGGAAUUCGUGGUGUAGCGGUGAAAUGCUUAGAUAUCACGAAGAACUCCGAUUGCGAAGGCAGCUCACUGGAGUGUAACUGACGCUGAUGCUCGAAAGUGUGGGUAUCAAACAGGAUUAGAUACCCUGGUAGUCCACACAGUAAACGAUG
This 815-nucleotide ribosomal RNA is filed under the name uncultured bacterium. Its description in RNAcentral is "bacterial SSU rRNA". It matches the Rfam family "Bacterial small subunit ribosomal RNA", at positions 8 to 811 of the family's 1533-position model. The record is from RNAcentral.